AGAGUUUGAUCCUGGCUCAGAACGAACGCUGGCGGCAUGCCUAACACAUGCAAGUCGAACGAAGGCUUCGGCCUUAGUGGCGCACGGGUGAGUAGCGCGUGGGAACCUGCCCUUCGGUGGGGGAUAACCGAGGGAAACUUCGGCUAAUACCGCAUGCGCCCCGGGGCAACUCGGGGGAAAGAUUUAUCGCUGAAGGAGGGGCCCGCGUCGGAUUAGGUAGUUGGUGGGGUAAUGGCCUACCAAGCCUGUGAUCCGUAGCUGGUCUGAGAGGAUGAUCAGCCACACUGGGACUGAGACACGGCCAGACUCCUACGGGAGGCAGCAGUGGGGAAUAUUGGACAAUGGGGGCAACCCUGAUCCAGCAAUGCCGCGUGAGUGAGGAAGGCCUUAGGGUUGUAAAGCUCUUUCGCACGCGACGAUGAUGACGGUAGCGUGAGAAGAAGCCCCGGCUAACUUCGUGCCAGCAGCCGCGGUAAUAC
Molecule: ribosomal RNA, 479 nt
Filed under: uncultured bacterium
Lineage: Bacteria
Description: bacterial SSU rRNA
Rfam family: Bacterial small subunit ribosomal RNA
Source: RNAcentral